RNAcentral lists this ribosomal RNA (738 nucleotides) under Triticum aestivum (bread wheat). Its description in RNAcentral is "partial small subunit ribosomal RNA". The record is from RNAcentral. Lineage: Eukaryota; Viridiplantae; Streptophyta; Magnoliopsida; Poales; Poaceae.
AUGGCGCUCGCAUCCGGGUUCUCCCCGCCGCCGUCCUACACCCCGGGUGCGUCCCAGCGCGGCCCCUUCUUCCUGGGCUUCGGCUUCGGCGGCGAGUGCUGCAACCCGUCGUUUGCCGGCUACUACGACCACGAGGAGUACGCCCCGUCGGGCCCUUCGCCGCUCACGAUCUACAAGGACUACACUCCGGGGAGCCCGGACUACACUCCCGCGAGCCCCGACUACACUCCAUCAAGCCCAGACUAUACUCUGGCGAGCCCCGACUACACUCCGGCGAGUCCGGACUACACUCCGGCGAGCCCUUCGUGGUCGCUGGAGUACACUUCGUCGAGCCCUGUUCGGCUCGCUUUCAUGAUGCCGUCUCCUCCGCGCGGCGCGUCCCCAGACUACACGCCCCUGACGCCGUCAGAGCACGCUGCUUCAUCACCUUACUAUACUCCGUUGAGUCCUUCCGGUCCCGGGCGCGCUUCCUCGCCGGAUUACACGCCCAGCACGCCGCCUCCGUCGCCUCUGGUGGUGUCUGACGCCGAGUCGUGCGCAUCGGCGUAUUACACACCGUCAACUCCUUCCAGGCGCGCCGAGUCGCCGGACUACACGCCCAGUACGCCGCCUCCAUCGCCCCUGGCGUCAGAAGCAGACUCGACCACGUCUACAGCACGCUGCCGCCACCAUCCGUACCAGAGGAGCGGCGCCGGCCGGAUCAGGCGCGGCGGACGUCAGCGAGCCUGGGGAUAUUGA